UGGGGAAUUUUGGACAAUGGGCGCAAGCCUGAUCCAGCCAUGCCGCGUGUCUGAAGAAGGCCUUCGGGUUGUAAAGGACUUUUGUCAGGGAAGAAAAGGCUGUUGCUAAUAUCAGCGGCUGAUGACGGUACCUGAAGAAUAAGCACCGGCUAACUACGUGCCAGCAGCCGCGGUAAUACGUAGGGUGCAAGCGUUAAUCGGAAUUACUGGGCGUAAAGCGAGCGCAGACGGUUACUUAAGCAGGAUGUGAAAUCCCCGGGCUCAACCUGGGAACUGCGUUCUGAACUGGGUGACUAGAGUGUGUCAGAGGGAGGUAGAAUUCCACGUGUAGCAGUGAAAUGCGUAGAGAUGUGGAGGAAUACCGAUGGCGAAGGCAGCCUCCUGGGAUAACACUGACGUUCAUGCUCGAAAGCGUGGGUAGCAAACAGGAUUAGAUACCCUGGUAGUCCACGCCCUAAACGAUGUCAAUUAGCUGUUGGGCAACUUGAUUGUUCAGUAGCGUANCUAACGCGUGAAAUUGACCGCCUGGGGAGUACGGUCGCAAGAUUA
This 549-nucleotide ribosomal RNA is filed under the name uncultured bacterium. Its description in RNAcentral is "bacterial SSU rRNA". It matches the Rfam family "Bacterial small subunit ribosomal RNA", at positions 355 to 896 of the family's 1533-position model. The record is from RNAcentral.